This 512-nucleotide ribosomal RNA is filed under the name uncultured bacterium. Its description in RNAcentral is "bacterial SSU rRNA". It matches the Rfam family "Bacterial small subunit ribosomal RNA", at positions 338 to 866 of the family's 1533-position model. The record is from RNAcentral.
CCUACGGGAGGCAGCAGUGAGGAAUAUUGAGCAAUGGGCGCAAGCCUGACUCAGCAACGCCGCGUGGAUGAUGACGGCCUUCGGGUUGUAAAAUCCUUUUCUGAGGGAAGAUAAUGACGGUACCUCAGGAAUAAGUUCCGGCUAACUACGUGCCAGCAGCCGCGGUAAAACGUAGGGGACAAGCGUUAUCCGGAUUUACUGGGCGUAAAGCGCAUGUAGGUGGCUUGCCAAGUUGGACGUGAAAGCUCCCGGCUUAACUGGGAGAGGUCGUUCAAAACUGGCAAGCUUGAGGUUGGAAGAGGAGAGCAGAAUUCCCGGUGUAGUGGUGGAAUGCGUAGAUAUCGGGAGGAAUACCAGUGGCGAAAGCGGCUCUCUGGUUCAAUACUGACACUGAGAUGCGAAAGCGUGGGGAGCGAACGGGAUUAGAUACCCCGGUAGUCCACGCUGUAAACGAUGGAUACUAGGUGUAGGGGGCAUUAACCCCCUCUGUGCCGAAGCCAACGCGUUAAGUA